CUCGCUCACUCAGUCACUCUCGUUCGCUCGCUCACUCGUGCCUCUUCCUCACUCCGCUGAAUCCCUAGCUCGUCGUCACCGGUGCCUCCCUCACGCGUCGCCAGCGCCUCUACCCCACACGCAGCGCCUCCGCCUCUCCCUCUCGCGCCGUCGCCGCCUUUCCAUGUUGUCGUACGCCAUCGCCUCUCGCUCUUCAAGAUCUCAGUUUUACUCCACUCCGGCGGCUGGAUCCGAAGCGUGGCGGCUCGAUCCAGCAGCUGUGGUACGCCAGCCCCUCCUCUUCAACGCCAGCAGCUGCAGUGCCUAGCCGCAGCAGAGCAGGUUCAAGCAGUAGCAAUAGCAGUAGCUUCAAAUAAGGCGCCUCCCCGACAUGCGGCAGCAGCAGUAGCUUCGCCUUGCUAUCUUCUUCUCCUCUCUUCAAGCAGUAGAUCGAGCGAAGCAGAGCAGAUGCCUCAUCAACCUACUAGCUGCACCAACGAGAGGUGGGAGACGAGAUGUAGCAUCUUUGUACUGAUGCUCACAUUGCUCAAAAGGAGAAGCUUGUCUUGAAGCAAACCAAGAGGGGUGUGAUCCUCCUCUAAACUAAGGGAAGCCACACCAGCAUUUGGAUGGUGUUAUUUCAAUAUCUAUGAUUUUCUACUUAAAUUUUUCAGGCAAGUCAGUUCGCAUCGGAGUGCAUCUCGUGUCUAGGCUGUGUUCACGUUGGUGUCCCUGUGCUAUGGAGUUCCUCUACGUCGUUCUUUCGCUGCCGCGUAGCUCGUGUGAUCGAGGCCCCGUCAUGUUCAUUAAAUAAUGUACAUACCGUCCAGCAGCACCGUGUGUGCUGCUUGGCCUCGAAUCUCGAUGUAAUAUCAGACUUAUGUAAUUCGCUAGUAU
Molecule: long non-coding RNA, 876 nt
Organism: Triticum dicoccoides
Lineage: Eukaryota; Viridiplantae; Streptophyta; Magnoliopsida; Poales; Poaceae
Exons: 5
Source: RefSeq, a predicted model, not a curated record